UACCAGCACCCCGAGUGGUCGGGGCGAUUAUUGGGCCUAAAGCAUCCGUAGCCGGUUCUACAAGUCUUCCGUUAAAUCCACCGGCUUAACAGAUGGGCUGCGGAGGAUACUAUGGAGCUAGGAGGCGGGAGAGGCAAGCGGUACUUAGUGGGUAGGGGUAAAAUCCGUUGAUCCCUUGAAGACCACCAGUGGCGAAGGCGGCUUGCCAGAACGCACUCGACGGUGAGGGAUGAAAGCUGGGGGAGCAAACCGG
This 253-nucleotide ribosomal RNA is filed under the name uncultured bacterium. RNAcentral describes it as "partial 16S ribosomal RNA". It matches the Rfam family "Archaeal small subunit ribosomal RNA", at positions 474 to 727 of the family's 1478-position model. The record is from RNAcentral.